CCUCGAGGUCGGAGAUGUUCCAUCGCAAAUUCCCGGUCUGCCGCUUGAUGGAGGGUUUGGGGUUUGAAGCCAUCAGCCAAGCCAAAGAAAGAAAAACGCGAGAGGUGGUCGCUAAGGGGCCUCAGGUGCCCCUCCAGCGGGUCACGGGCCCAUGAGGCAGUCGAGAAAGCAGCUAGGGGAGGACAGCUUCCCCACCGCCCCAGGCACUUUGGAGGCCGGCCGCAUCUCCUCGCGUCCAGAGGCGUUUGCCCGGGGCCCAGCUGGAUGAGACUGCCAGACAGGACGGGCAGAGUCGGAAGUCCAGUUGUCUUGCUAUCACAAUCUAGGGUAGGCUCGGGUCUUUCCUCAGUGCGGGGAGGACCUUUGCUUUCAGAAAUGAACGUGGCGCGACAUAUCUCCACUCAGGCACCGGUGCGAUGCUGGUGGAGAAGUUUCUUUGGGACUGGUUGGGUUGCCUUUCUCCCCUUGGCCUUCGUGUUGGUGCUGGUGGUGCUGGUGGUGCUGGUGGUGCUGGUGGUGCUGGUGGUGCUGGUGGCGGUGCUCAUGGCCUUGUGGAUCGCUUCUCCUGUUUGGCACUUGGAGCUUCUCCAGCGUACUCCUUGCACCGGACAUGGAGCCCCAGGGAUCUUUGCGGACGAGCGUCGUGCGGGGCAGCGCAUCCCGCCUCAUUCCUGCCGGACCCUCCGCCAAGUAGCACGAGGCCUCCCAAGGACAGACACCCAUAAAGGCUGCUUGCCCGUCUUCUCCCCGGACGCCUCUCGACGUCUGGGGCAUUUUCGAGAGCCUGACCGGCCGGAAGGAGACGGUUCAUGGACCUGCACCCGCUCUUCCCUGCCCCCCGAAGGGCUCCCGAGAUCUUCUCCUUGCUCGGCUGGCUGUGAGCGCUCUGUGAGGCGUCUCCAGGCCGCGUCACUCACCCGAGGCCAGCGGUGCGGCCAGGGAACGGAGACGGGGAACGAAAGGCAAACCCACACCCAAAGUCCCAUCCCGAGAGGACUCUCCCACCCUCGCAGAAGUGGGAGGCCCUCGGACCGUGCCCAGGCCCGCUCAUGCACCCCAUCACCCCAUCCUCUCCAGCGACUUCCCAGCAGAGCCAGCCCUCGAGAGCUCAGCCGCUCAGGCACGAGCCCGUCCCAAGUGAACACCGAGACCCCGGGCACACUCCAGGCCCCGCUUUUCCCAGGAGGCUGCAUCACGCACACGGCCGAGAGGAACCCGCUCCUCGUCGGAACUCUUGGUGCGUCACACAGGGCGUGCCGCACACAGCGUGUGCCUGGGCGUCUGCACGCAUGUGCGUCAGAGCCGACCUACCGCCACAGCCCCAGAGGCGGCCGCGGCUUCUUGUUCUUCCCCUUGGUGGCUCUGGCCCUCCCGCUGGCACAAGGGCCGUUGCCGACGUUCUUCGGCCCCGGAGGCGGGGUGUCCGUGCUGGGACGGUCGAGCCGCUCGUGCUCCUGUUGGGGCGGCGUGCGGUUUCUCCCUCCUCCGUGUUUGGACUGGUGAAUCACGACUGCGCCGGCAGGCAGGGCAGACUGGACCUUCCGCGGCUCAAGGCCGGCUUGAUCGGCUGUGUUCUUGCAGGCGUCUCCACUGCUCUAAGCUCAUCCUUCGACCUCUGUGUCCCCCGGGGACUCCUCCGACCCAGGAGCUCUGCCGCUGGCGUCUCCUGCAGGCUGCCCGGGGUCUGUGGGGUCAGCCCCGACGGGGGCCGCUGCCCCUCCCCCAGCGCCCCCUUCCCACGCACCCUCCCGGGCGUAGAACAGGACGUAGGCGCUCUGGCUCAGGGCAGCGGUCUCGUCACAGGCGGUCACCUUGGCAUCGUCCAUCUUAUAACAUUGGUCGUUGCCCUCUCAGACCUAACAAAAGUAGUGGCCUCGCUCACAGGUCCUCACAGAAACAUAGUAUUUUCAAUACUCUCUGCUUGAAUUUUUCUUGAAGAAAUGUAAAAUUUUAGUAAAUUUUUCCCAAUGAAAUAAAUCUUUUUUAAGUAAUGUAUAUCUGGCCAUAUUAGUCUCAAUAAUCUCAGAAUAAACACAAGGACAUCAAAUAUUUAUUCAUAAUUAAAAAUUUUUUAAAGAAUCAGGUCAUUUACAUGAUAUUACAUCUGCAUAACACAUUGACAUGUUUGAUUCCAGAGUUGCAUUUUCCCUUAGGAUCAGGUGGUUGCUUUAGCCCCUCCUUUGUGUGUGUGUGUGUGUGUGUGUGUGGCUUGAAUGAUUUCAUGCUUCCCUAUUCUUGCCACCCUGGUGUUGCUUAGAGACCCUGGAUAUUUUAUGAGAGCAAUGGCCACACCACACUAAGAGGCCUAACCCUGUCUCUGUCUUGUGUCUUCAGGAGCUCAAUGCAUACAAAACGUGUAUGAAAGCUCCAGAUGUGAAAGCUCAGGCUUCCAGUUGAUUCACACCUCCUAUGUAAAGGGAAUGGCCUUCUUCUACCCUCAUGGGCAUAAUUGGGGCCAGAUGUGAGGACAAAGUGUGCGAUGGGUUCAGGUGCAAAAAGUCAGUUAUCCCCUUGCUUCAUACCUGCGGUGCAAAGGGAAAAUCCUUCCUUUGGGAAAACAGCUCAGAGCUCAUAGAGACAAGGGCUGCCCCCUGCAGAGUGGGGCCAGUAGCCUCUGGUGGGGAAGACUGGGGUGAUGACUGACUGGCUGGGGGCUCCCAGGAUGAGGCAAGAGGCUGAGGAGCCCAAGUUUGCAGAGCCAAGGUCAUACCAACCCCUCCUUGGAUCUGCGUCUGUCUGAGUGGAGCAGUGACUUUAAGGGGCUAGGAUGCCAGCUGCCUGCCUGGAGGCCACAGGAGGAGGAGGCAGAAAAGCAGGCGGUGUGGCUCCUUUUGAUUUCUGAAGACACUUCUUUCUGGCACCAGGUGCCAACCUAUGGGAAAGAUUGUAUUCUUUUUAUAAAACUGCUUUAGCUGUUCUAAUUCAUUUGCCUUUCCAUCUCAGUUCAUUUAAAGAUAAAUGUACAAAUGUAUAUAUUUUUCCCAAUGAAAUAAAUCUUUUUUAAGUAAUGUAAAUCUGGCCAUAUUAGUCUCAAUAAUCUCAGAAUAAACACAAGGACAUCAAAUAUUUAUUCAUAAUUAAAAUUUUUUAAAGAAUCAGGUCAUUUACAUGAUAUUACAUCUGCAUAACACAUUGACAUGUUUGAUUCCAGAGUUGCAUUUUCCCUUAGGAUCAGGUGGUUGCUUUAGCCCUCUCCUUUGUGUGUGUGUGUGUGUGUGUGUGUGUGUGUGUGUGUGUGUGUGUGUGUGUGUGUGUGUGUGUGUGUGUGUGUGUGUGUGUGUGUGUGUGUGUGUGUGUGUGUGUGUGUGUGUGUGUGUGUGUGUGUGUGUGUGUGUGUGUGUGUGUGUGUGUGUGUGUGUGUGUGUGUGUGUGUGUGUGUGUGUGUGUGUGUGUGUGUGUGUGUGUGUGUGUGUGUGUGUGUGUGUGUGUGUGUGUGUGUGU
Bos grunniens (domestic yak) is the source of this 3441-nucleotide long non-coding RNA. The record is from Ensembl. Lineage: Eukaryota; Metazoa; Chordata; Mammalia; Artiodactyla; Bovidae.